Molecule: ribosomal RNA, 253 nt
Filed under: uncultured bacterium
Lineage: Bacteria
Description: partial 16S ribosomal RNA
Rfam family: Bacterial small subunit ribosomal RNA
Source: RNAcentral
UACAGAGGGUGCAAGCGUUAAUCGGAAUUACUGGGCGUAAAGGGCUUGUAGGCGGCCAAUUAAGUUAGAUGUGAAAACCCCGGGCUUAACCUGGGACGUGCAUUUAAUACUGAUUGGCUAGAGUAUGGUAGAGGAAAGGGGAAUUUCCGGUGUAGCAGUGAAAUGCGUAGAUAUCGGAAGGAACAUCAGUGGCGAAGGCGCCUUUCUGGACUAAUACUGACGCUGAGGAGCGAAGGCGUGGGGAGCAAACAGG